CCUACGGGAGGCAGCAGUAGGGAAUUUUCGUCAAUGGGCGCAAGCCUGAACGAGCGAUGCCGCGUGAGUGAAGAAGGCCUUCGGGUCGUAAAGCUCUGUUGCGGGGAAAAAAGGCAGCAUCAGGAAAUGGGUGCUGACUGAUGGUGCCCCGCCAGAAAGUCACGGCUAACUACGUGCCAGCAGCCGCGGGAAUACGUAGGUGGCGAGCGUUAUCCGGAAGGAUUGGGCGUAAGGGGUGCGCAGGCGGUCCUGCAAGUCUGCAGUGAAACGCAUGAGCUCAACUCAUGCAUGGCUUUGGAAACUGGAGGACUGGAGAGCAGGAGAGGGCGGUGGAACUCCAUGUGUAGCGGUAAAAUGCGUAGAUAUAUGGAAGAACACCAGUGGCGAAGGCGGCCGCCUGGCCGGUUGCUGACGCUGAGGCACGAAAGCGUGGGGAGCGAACAGGAUUAGAUACCCCUGUAGUC
RNAcentral lists this ribosomal RNA (464 nucleotides) under uncultured bacterium. RNAcentral describes it as "partial 16S ribosomal RNA". It matches the Rfam family "Bacterial small subunit ribosomal RNA", at positions 338 to 795 of the family's 1533-position model. The record is from RNAcentral.